UGAGGAAUAUUGGUCAAUGGGCGAGAGCCUGAACCAGCCAAGUAGCGUGCAGGAUGACGGCCCUAUGGGUUGUAAACUGCUUUUAUAUGGGAAUAAAGUGAGGGACGUGUCCCUUAUUGUAUGUACCAUACGAAUAAGGACCGGCUAAUUCCGUGCCAGCAGCCGCGGUAAUACGGAAGGUUCGGGCGUUAUCCGGAUUUAUUGGGUUUAAAGGGAGCGUAGGCCGUUUGGUAAGCGUGUUGUGAAAUGUAGGAGCUCAACUUCUAGAUUGCAGCGCGAACUGUCAGACUUGAGUGCGCACAACGUAGGCGGAAUUCAUGGUGUAGCGGUGAAAUGCUUAGAUAUCAUGAAGAACUCCGAUUGCGAAGGCAGCUUACGGGAGCGCAACUGACGCUGAAGCUCGAAGGUGCGGGUAUCGAACAGG
RNAcentral lists this ribosomal RNA (424 nucleotides) under Verrucomicrobiota bacterium. RNAcentral describes it as "Verrucomicrobia bacterium partial 16S ribosomal RNA". It matches the Rfam family "Bacterial small subunit ribosomal RNA", at positions 355 to 776 of the family's 1533-position model. The record is from RNAcentral. Lineage: Bacteria; Pseudomonadati; Verrucomicrobiota.